AUUUCUUCAAACUUAUGAUUAAAAUUCCCCAAAAAAUAUCCUGACAAAUCAAGAAAAUCUGUAAAAUCUAAUUUAAAUCUUAUUUCAAAGUCUUUUGAAUUCCUUUUAAAAUUUUAGUUCUGGAAAAUUUAGAAGAAAUAAUGAUUGGUCUUUGUUAGAAAUAUAGCUUGGUCCAAUUUGUUAUAUAUUCUAACAAAGUGCAGAUUGGAUUUCAACCUAUUUAAAACAUGUCAUCACAAUUCUAAAAUAAUCUUAAUCAAGAAAAAUGACUAAUGAUGUUCCAUAAAUUAUUUUUUUAAUUUUUUCAACAAGAUUCAAAUUAGCUAGAUUUUGUCUUCAUUUUUUUUGGUUGAAUUUUGAAUUUUAAAGAGUUGAAAUUGAAGAUAAACUAUGUUUCAAAAUUUAAUUGUCAUUUUUUUGUGUUUUCUCCUCUUUUGAACCAUUCAAUUAAGCAUUUUUUUCAUCAUUUAUUCUCUACAAAAAACCUUCUGUAAAAGGGAACAUAAAUGGACGACGGAAUGACAGACAGAAAUACCCUUGUUUUUUUUUUUUUAAAUGUAUAUAUAGAUUUAUUUAUUAAAAGUAAAUUGAGCAAAUUGGCUAUUUCUGGCAAUUUAUUGAAGUGUGUAUCAAACUGGUAGCCCUUGGCACGAAUCAGUAGCCAAGAAGUAGCUCUUGCUUUCAAACAGGUUGCUGACCCCUGCUGUAGAUGAUGUCACAGUCUAAUUUGCAUAAUUAGCCAUGAUGCAUGUACAUGCAUGAAAUAAUAAUGGACGCGGUUGAAGGGAGGAAUAACUUGGAAGCGAUAAAUGUAGCUAAAAACAUAAACAAGCAAAACAAAACUACCUUUUCACAUAUGAACCCAUGCGCUUGUCAAUGGUACCACAACUUUUGCAGGUGUGUUUUAUGUGUUCAAGGUCCACUUCUUCUAUCUGGAUUUCUUACACCUCUGAGUCUAAUUUGCAAGUGUCAGCCUUGUUUUUUGAUUGAUUGAUUGAUUGAUACUUUUAUUAGUAGAUAGCACAGUACAGUACAUAUUCCCUACAAUUGACCACUAAAUGCCAAUAAGUUUUUCAACUUGCUUAAGUCAGGGUCCAUGUAAAGUACUAUCUAAUGUUAUCUAAUGUUAAUCAAUUCAUCACUCACAGUUUGGUUAUGUUUUAGUUUCCCCUCUGUGCUUUGUUUCCUGUCAGCGCUUUUAUUUUGGUUGAGUUUCCUGCUUGUCUCCCUGAGCGCUGUUUUCCCUCACCUGUUCCUAAUUGUCAGUCUGGCACACCUGGCGGCAAUUGCCAAUCAGGCUCCUAUUUAUACCUGCCCCUCCCUCCAGUCAGUGCUGGAGUAUUACUACCUGUAGACUGUUUUCUCGAUUCCUGGUUUGUGUUUUUCCUGCAUUUUUGGGACAUUAAAAAUCAUGUCUUCCUGUAUUGACAGCAAGUAUUAUACAGUAGACUUUGCAUGCAGUUGCAAUUCCAAGGCAUUAGAUGGCAGUGUUGUAUAGGCUACGGUGUGUUGGCCAAUCAGGAAGUAGUCUUUGCUGUUAUGCGGAAUGUGCUAGUCCAAUCUUAUGCGGAGCCCUACAAAGUGUCAUACUGUAAAUGUACUUAUUACCAUCAGUUUGAUCGAGCAUCUUAGUUGUUUUGAUUGCCCAAUCUGGAGGUGUUGAAAUCGCCAUGUAAAAUCACUAAUGCUAAUCAUUAGCCUGUCUAUGGCGUUUCUAGUGUAAACUAGCAUCGAGUUAGCACUUUUUAAAACAGAUGCGCCUUCAUUUUUGAGGGCUUUGUAUGUUUGAUUUGUUGGCACGGAACAAUAAGUACCACUGCUGUGUUGCUGAGUCCGCUCUGAACACUGCUGAGUGCUUGUUUCCUCACCAAGUGUUUGAGCUGAUGUUUGGUCUGGACCCGGAUGUGCAACAACGGUAUCAAAAUGUGAUACGGCUUACAUACUGUACUGACGGAAUUCAGUUGAUACCUAAUCUAGCACCCAUUCCUGUUGAGAAAUACAUAUGUUCUUUUUGCCGUUUGAGCUCUGAAUACUUGCCAGAUCCUGCCUGCUGCUGUCUUUAAAAAGUUGCAUACUGCCACCUGCUGCAUGGAAAUGUAACAACAAGCUAAAAUCACGCCAAAUGUGUCUGUGGCGGACCGUUGUAGGAAUGAGAAACACUACAGGUGAUCAUACUUGCCAACCUUGAAACCUCCGAUUUCGGGGGGGGGUAGCGUGGUCGGGGAGUGGUUAUAUUUACAGCUAUCCAUCCAUCCAUUUUCUACCGCCUAUUCCUUUUGGGGUCGCGGGGGAUGCUGGUGCCUAUCUCAGCUACAAUCGGGCGGAAGGCGGGUUACACCCUGGACAAGUCGUCACCUCAUCGCAGUAUGUGUAGAAAUCUUCAUUUAUAAUUGAAUCACUUGUUUAUUUUUCAAAAAGUUUUUAGUUAUUUUUAUAUCCAUCCAUCCAUUCAUUUCUACCGCGUAUUCCCUUUUGGGGUCGUGGGGGGCGCUGGUGCCUAUUUCAGCUACAGUCGGGCGGAAGGCGGCGUACACCCUGGACAAGUCACCACCUCAUCGGAGUAUUUUUAUAUCUUUUUUUCCAAAUAGUUCAAGAAAGACCACUACAAAUGAGCAAUAUUUUGCACUGUUAUACAAUUUAAUAAAUCAUAAACUGAUGACAUAGUGCUGUAUUUUACUUCUUUAUCUCUUUUUUUUUUUUUUAAUCAAAAAUGCUUUGCUCUGAUUAGGGGGUACUUGAAUUAAAAAAUGUUGACAGGGGGUACAUCACUGAAAAAAGGUUGAAAACCACAGCUCUAAAAGCCGUAGAUAUUAUUGUCACAUAUGUACAGUACAUGGCAGUAUUGUCCUGUUUAAGAGUGUCACAACAUUGCUGUUUACGGCAUACAAAAAAACGUGACUGCUGUUGUUGUGUGUUGUUGCCGCGCUGGGAGGACGUUAAUGAGACUGCCUAACAAUAAACCCACAUAAGAAACCAAGAACUCUCCCUCGAUCAUUCUACAGUUAUAACAUCAUUGGGCAGACAGGCUGUUUAUAUUGUGGGAAAGCGGACGUGAAAACAGGCUGUCGACACGUCACUCGGGUCCGCAUGGAGCUGGAAGGGGCGUGGCCUCCAGCUCCGCCUGAAUUUCAGGAGAAAAUUUGUCCAGGGAGGUUUUCGGGAGAGUGGCUGAAUUUCGGGAGUCUCCCGGAAAAUCCCGGAGUGUUGGCAAGUAUGCAGGUGAGUACCAAGUGCUCGAGGUCACUCGAAUCUGACAGCUUAGUCUUCACAUUUAUUUCUACAAUUUGUAUUUUCUCACCUGAGGAGCAGAAGGUACCACCAGGUCCUGGACACUUCAUGGUCGUUUUGAACGGCAGAGCUCCAGGAACACUCCAGCAGUGCAGGUAGGUAGACAUCCUGCUGGCUUGGAUGGCGACCAGGUUGCCUCCCACACCUGCUUUGACAAGCGGCGUCAGUGUUUGAUAUGCAACAGCAAACACAGACAAGACUGUAAAAGUACAUGGAACAGGUUUUACCAUCAAGGUUAAUGUUCUGCAAUAUUCAUGUACUCUGUUCUCCUCUGAGUAACCCUAGAACGGCCAUUAAGCGAUGCCCUAGUGGCUCCCUGGAGAUUUUUCAAAAAUGUAUUUGUCACAACUUGGCUUGGACAUGGAUUGUUUCUUCGACGCAGAUGAGAAUCAGCAUGACCGAGGCGUGGACGUGAGUACAUGUUUUAAUUAUAUAAUAUAUACAAAACAGGGAAAACAAAAACACUUGCUCAAUGGCAUGAAAUACAAUUUAACUAUAAACUUCAACAGCACGAUGGCAAGACUAAAGACAUGAAACAAAAGAGUGCACUGUGGCAUAAAUACAAAACUUACGUGGAUGAAAAUGAAGAGUGUAGCAAGGCAUGAAGCAGAUAAACGAGGGCGUGAAGAAGGUGCAUCAUGGGUAGCGUGUGUGAAGAUCCCAGAAAGUGACUUAAGUAGCUGUGAUGAUUAUUGAAAACAGGUGAGGCUGAGAACAGGGACGUGACAUGACAGGUGAAAAGUAAUGAGUUGGCAUGGAAACAAACAAAACCAGGAAGUGCAAAACGUGACUGAAUGUCCAAAAUCAAAACAUAACAAGAUCCAUAGGUGUGACAAUUAAAAAGGAAAAAAUUGGAUCAAACUCCACACAGAAAGAACCCGAGCACGGGAUUGAAUCUAGGACUACUCAGGACCUUCGUAUUGGGAGGCAGACGCACUAACCCUAAUCCAAAUUCCAAAAUAUGAUUAUUCUAAUUUGGAAAAAAAAGCUCUACUUAUAACACAAUUCCCGGUCAACGUUUUGUUGGGAUAGCUUAGCAUAUAUUGGCCUACUCUGGAAUGGUUUUAACAUAUUUAAAGCACAAAUUGUAUCAGAAUGUCAUUCCUCCAACUUUUCAGCCUUCCAACUUGCUUUUGACAUUAAGAAAAACGAAAAAAAGAAUGUGACAGAUUAAAGUUACAUUUGUAUUCAUCAAUAUGUUUUGUAAGGACUGGUGGGCAUCGAGGUGCCGGGUUCGAUUCCCUCGAGGAUGCGUUGACGUGAAAACAACAAAGGAUCAGACCACCAAGACUGGAGAAACAUCAGCACGGGAGUCCCAUGAAUGCUGGGUGUUGUCCGGGCAGAGAGAAGGAAAGAAAGCAGCUCACCUGCUGAUGGACAUGGCCAAGAUCACCGGCUGCCAGCCUGACCUCAAGACCUCUGUGACGGGCGGAGACUGGCGGGCGACGAGCACGCAGACCGGCACCAGAAGCAGGAAGAAGCCACACACCGCAGGAGCACAGGAAGAAGCUGCUGAUCCCCGCCAGUAAAGACAAAGUGAUGAGGUCACCCAGGCUCGCAGCGAUGGGCGUGGCUACGUUAUCUGGGUUGAUGCCCACUCUCCUGGAGCACACGAUCACCGCCACCAUCACCAAACCUGGCCAAGGACAAGAUGAAGAUGAUGACCAGCUGCUGAGGCUGCUCCAGCUGCCCGGUGUUGGCCUGUGGGUUGGAGGAGCAGAGUUGUUCUGCACAUGAGAAAAGAGGACAAAGGUUUCUUCACACCUCAACACAACUGAUGGUCCCAACCCCAGUGAUUAUACAAGAAAUUCCACUAAUCAACCCUGUCAAGGCACACCUGUGAAGUUGAGAACCAUUUCAGGUGAACUACCUCUUGAAGCUCAAGGAGAGAAUGCCAAGAGUGUGCAGAAAAGUAAUCAGCAAAGGGUGGCUAUGUUAAA
This is a long non-coding RNA of Nerophis ophidion (straightnose pipefish), 5228 nucleotides long. RefSeq lists it as uncharacterized. The record is from RefSeq and is a predicted model, not a curated record. NCBI's taxonomy places the organism in Eukaryota, Metazoa, Chordata, Actinopteri, Syngnathiformes, Syngnathidae. The transcript is spliced from 5 exons.